CGGGGUGGAGUAAUGUCUGGGAACGUGCCUGAUGAGGGGGGAUAACUGCUGGAAACGGUAGCUAAUACGCAUAACGUCGCAAGACCAAAGAGGGGGACCGUUCGGGCCUCUUGCCAUCGGAUGUGCCCAGAUGGGAUUAGCUAGUAGGUGGGGUAACGGCUCACCUAGGCGACGAUCCCUAGCUGGUCUGAGAGGAUGACCAGCCACACUGGAACUGAGACACGGUCCAG
This 230-nucleotide ribosomal RNA is filed under the name uncultured bacterium. Its description in RNAcentral is "partial 16S ribosomal RNA". It matches the Rfam family "Bacterial small subunit ribosomal RNA", at positions 104 to 334 of the family's 1533-position model. The record is from RNAcentral.